ACUCAAAGGAAUUGACGGGGGCCCGCACAAGCGGCGGAGCAUGCGGAUUAAUUCGAUGCAACGCGAAGAACCUUACCUGGGUUUGACAUAUGCCGGAAAGCCGUAGAGAUACGGCCCCUUUUAGUCGGUAUACAGGUGGUGCAUGGCUGUCGUCAGCUCGUGUCGUGAGAUGUUGGGUUAAGUCCCGCAACGAGCGCAACCCUCGUUCUAUGUUGCCAGCAAGCCCGCAAGGGUGUUGGGGACUCAUAGGAGACUGCCGGGGUCAACUCGGAGGAAGGUGGGGAUGACGUCAAGUCAUCAUGCCCCUUAUGUCCAGGGCUUCACGCAUGCUACAAUGGCCGGUACAAAGGGCUGCGAUGCUGUAAGGCGGAGCGAAUCCCAAAAAGCCGGUCUCAGUUCGGAUUGGGGUCUGCAACUCGACCCCAUGAAGUCGGAGUCGCUAGUAAUCGCAGAUCAGCAACGCUGCGGUGAAUACGUUCCCGGGCCUUGUACACACCGCCCGU
This 503-nucleotide ribosomal RNA is filed under the name uncultured bacterium. RNAcentral describes it as "partial 16S ribosomal RNA". It matches the Rfam family "Bacterial small subunit ribosomal RNA", at positions 899 to 1397 of the family's 1533-position model. The record is from RNAcentral.